CUGCCCCCCAAUCCUCACUUUCUCAGUUUCUACUGCCUAUGUCUGCCUGAGGAUAGAUACCAGGAGGUGGUGGCAGUAACUGUGGCCUUAUCAGCUGCUCACUUCCAUACUUUUGCCCAAGUUUCUGGUGCCCCUGUUUCAAAGAUGUUGGCCCACUGGCCCCGGCCCUGACUUGGCUUGUCACCCUCCCCCACAAGUUGACACAUAUUUCAGAAGCUGCUCUUUUGGCCAGCUGGGUUGUGAUCUUUUGUGCUAUGCCUGCUCUUGGCAGAGCAUGGUGGUGGCUCUUUCUCUGCAAGGGCUUGAUGACAACCUCUACUCUAUAGGUAUGUGGGAGUCUCGGGUUCUCUUGGAGGCAACAAGGUCUUCAAUUGCCAGAUACAAAUAUAUACCCUAAAGCCAUUCCCCCAGAGCCCUAUCUCCUCUAGCCACACCCCACCUGCCUUCAGUUACCACUCAAUUAAUCCCUAUAAGGGGAUUAAUUCACUGAUUGGGUUAAGGCUCUCGUAACCCAAUUAUUUCUUUUCUAAACCUUCUUGCAUUGUCUCACAUGUGAACUUUUUGGGGGCACCUCACAUCUAAACCAUGACAUUCUGCCCCUGGCCCCCAAAAGCUCACACUCAUCUGACAAUGCAAAAUACAUUUAAUCCAUUCCCAAGAGUCUCCAAAGUCUUUUAAUAGUUCUGAGAUUGCUCAAAGUUCAAGUCCAAAGUCUUCUCUGAGGUUCAAGGCAAUCUUGCAUUGCAAGCUCCUAUAAAACUAAAAGCAAUUUACAAGUAUCCUAUAUAUAAAGGUACAGAGUAAACAUUUCCAUUCACAAAAAUAGGUGCAUAGAAAGAAUGGAUGGGACUAAAGCAAGACCAAAAUCCAGCUAUAAGUAGUUCUGUGUUUGGCAUCUGGAGCACAUGGCAUGAUGUCCUCUUCAAAGGGCUUAUGUAGCUCUACUCCUGUGGUCUUGUUGGUUGCAUCUCAAGGGGCCUUUCUGUUGGCUUGUCUCUGUUCAAUUCCUGCAGCUUUCCUAGGUCAAUGUCCCACGUUACUGGCAUUUUUUAAUCUUGGGGGUCUCCACUGCAGCUUUGGCUUUCUCCUCAAAUCUCUAUACUUUGUCUUCUCAGGGAGUGCUCACAGGGAAUCCGAUCCUGUGCGCUUUGCCUGGCUUCCAAGGCCUUCCUUUGAAAUCUUGGUGGAAGCCUCCAUGACCCACUAACUAUAGCAUCCUGCAUUCCUGCAGAACCAGCACCACGUGGUUGAUGCCAAGGUCUGCCACCAUUUGAGCAGUAGCCCAGCCUCCAGGGACCCUACCUGCAGCAGUCUCUGAGUGUGUGGGUGGCUGAGCACAUUCAAGACACUCCUUAGGCCCCCUUGUGCAAGAAGGAUCCCAUACUUGUCUCUUCUCAAGAGAAUUUUCACUUUUACUCCCUUGAACCUGAGAUGGGUGUGGUCUUUCCUGCACCUAAGAUGCCCUCAAGCCUUCUUUCUUAUUGUCUCUGGCAAAGUCUUCAGGAUUUCUUUAGUGGCAAUAAUGUCUUUAACAACUGCAAAGUCCUUAGGUUCAGUUUUACUACUGCCUUUCAAGUCCAAGUUUUCAAAUCUUUCUGCUCUGCUUUCUGCUUCCAAGUAUCAUAAUAAACUUGGCUUAAAGUUGCCAGAAAUACCCAUACCACUUCCUGAGUGCUAAGCUGCCUAGACAUUUCUUCUUUCAGAUUAAGAAAUCCAUUGCUUUUAAAACCAGCCUCACAGAAAGUCUCAGGACAUGGGCAAAAUGCAGACAGCUUCUCAGCACAUAACAUGAAUGGCCUCUGCUUCCAAAUUCCAAUAGAUACCUCCUUUUCUGAACAAUCUUGAGCCCUAUUUUCACUGUGCAUGGUCCUAUUGGCAUUCUAGUCUUAGCUCCCACCAGAAUCGGCCAUUAAGCUCCUCUUAAAACAACCUACAUUAAACAACCUAAACCAGCUCAUGCUGCUAAGCAUCUCAGAAUCCCUCCCACCUAUUCCAAAAUGCUCCAAAAGCUUCUGAACCACAUGGUCUGAUUAAUCACAGCAAUGGCCCCAUUCCUGGUAAAAUUUUGGUUUUAGUCAGCUAUUUACCACUAUGACUAAAAGACCCAACCAGCACAAUUAUAGAGGAGGAACAGUUUAUUUGAGGGCUCAUGGUUUCAGAGGUCUUAGUCCAUAGAAGUCUAUUUCUCAGGACUUGAGGUGAGGCAGAACUCAUGGCAGAAGAGUGUGGCAGAGGGAAGCAGCUCACAUGAUGAUCAGAAAGCAGAGAGAGACUGUGAUAUUUAACUCUUGUGCAAACCUAUGCUCUUUCACUGAAUCAGAUUGUGCCCCAAUUCAAUGCCUUUCUCUUCUGAUAUUAUGCAAAACACAAUAAAUCCAGCUUAUUCUAUUUUCCCUUCUUGUUUUCCUUAGCAAACCUUGUCUAUAUGGCAAAGUUUCAGUGGAUAUACCUGGCAGUAAAAUUUCUACUCCCUUAUUCUGUUCCUUGAACCAAAAUACUAUUUUCAAAACUUUGAAGGUUUUGGAAGUGAAGAACAAUAAGGAACAUAUACUUUUUUCUUGAGAUUUCUAAAAGUACUUUUCAAACUCAUUUCAAUCUUGUGCAGUUCAACCAAUAUUUAUCCAAUUACUUCUGUGUCCCCGGCACCACUUGCUAUGAGAACAGACAUGGGUCUCUCUUAGGAAGGUCGACAGCUUGAUUAGGUAGAAAACUAGGCAAGAGUCUAUAAAAAAUUUAAAUGAACUUAAUAGAAGCCAAAUCCAUAGUAAUAACUCAAAUAAGGAUAGAUAAGUGUAACUACAAGGAGCAGAUGGAACCUGAUAGGCACUGAGAAGACUCCAGGGGUAGUCCUUUCAGCCA
RNAcentral lists this long non-coding RNA (2859 nucleotides) under Marmota monax (woodchuck). The record is from RNAcentral. Lineage: Eukaryota; Metazoa; Chordata; Mammalia; Rodentia; Sciuridae.